UACGAGGGGUCCUAGCGUUGUUCGGAAUCAUUGGGCGUAAAGCGGGUGUAGGCGGAUUAGUAAGUCAGAUGUGAAAGCCCUGGGCUCAACCCAGGAAGUGCAUUUGAAACUACUGAUCUUGAGUGUGGUAGAGGCUAGUGGAAUUCCUGGUGUAGCGGUGAAAUGCGUAGAUAUCAGGAGGAACAUCGGUGGCGAAGGCGGCUAGCUGGACCAACACUGACGCUCAGACCCGAAAGCGUGGGGAGCAAACAGG
RNAcentral lists this unclassified non-coding RNA (253 nucleotides) under uncultured Pseudobdellovibrionaceae bacterium. Its description in RNAcentral is "uncultured Bdellovibrionaceae bacterium contains 16S-23S intergenic spacer region". It matches the Rfam family "Bacterial small subunit ribosomal RNA", at positions 524 to 776 of the family's 1533-position model. Lineage: Bacteria; Pseudomonadati; Bdellovibrionota; Bdellovibrionia; Bdellovibrionales; Pseudobdellovibrionaceae. The record is from RNAcentral.